RNAcentral lists this ribosomal RNA (208 nucleotides) under Microdochiaceae sp. RNAcentral describes it as "partial large subunit ribosomal RNA". The record is from RNAcentral. Lineage: Eukaryota; Fungi; Ascomycota; Sordariomycetes; Xylariales; Microdochiaceae.
AAGGGUUUAUGACCAGACUUUGGCCUUGCGGAUCAUCCGGUGUUCUCACUGGUGCACUUCGCUUGGUUGAGGCCAGCAUCGAUUUUUGUAGGGGGAUAAAGACUUUAGGGAUGUGACUCCUCCGGGAGUGUUAUAACCUACUGUGUAAUACCCUUACGGGGAUCGAGGUCCGCGCUUCGGCUAGGAUGCUGGCAUAAUGGUCAUCAGC